Sander lucioperca (pikeperch) is the source of this 575-nucleotide long non-coding RNA. RefSeq lists it as uncharacterized. NCBI's taxonomy places the organism in Eukaryota, Metazoa, Chordata, Actinopteri, Perciformes, Percidae. The transcript has 3 exons. The record is from RefSeq and is a predicted model, not a curated record.
UGAGAGAAUCACGACUUGCUUUACGGCACAACGUCACAUACAUCAACAACAUAUAAGAAGCAGCCUCUAUGGAAGACACUAGCACGCAUUUCAGACGAGAGUCCCACUCAGUCAGGCUUUCACUCGUUGGCGAGAGCUAAAAAGCAGCAAAGGUAACGUUAAAUACAAGUACUCCACAGCGACUCUAGGGGUCGCUGUUUGACAAGAAUGAAAACUGCAUAGUAUGCCUUUAAUAGUAAAGGUAUGUGUCUUUGUAAAACUUAAAUGUUUCUUGUAACAGAAUAAUCAUAAUUGUGGCUAAAGUAGUGUUUGGUGUUCAUAAACGUAACCAGGAAUGAAAUUUUUCGGCUUAUAGGCAAGCGCCUAUUGUUUCUGAUGGAAUAUGUUUGGUAGACCUAUGUCUAGUAUCCUUGUUUAGGCUAUAUUUGGAAAACGGACUGUAGCCUGUAAUUUACAAUUUACAACUGGGUUAUAUAUAAAAUAAAUAAAGUAUCUCUCAUGCAAUUAUCCUUAUGACUCUACAUUAUUUUACUACUCUGUGUGUACCAAAAUCCAGUCAUUUUUACCAGUUGAAA